This 500-nucleotide ribosomal RNA is filed under the name uncultured bacterium. RNAcentral describes it as "partial 16S ribosomal RNA". It matches the Rfam family "Bacterial small subunit ribosomal RNA", at positions 30 to 523 of the family's 1533-position model. The record is from RNAcentral.
AUUGAACGCUGGCGGCAGGCCUAACACAUGUAAGUCGAGCGGAUGACGGGAGCUUGCUCCUUGACUCAGCGGCGGACGGGUGAGUAAUGCCUAGGGAUCUGCCUGGUAGUGGGGGACAACGUAUCGAAAGGAACGCUAAUACCGCAUACGUCCUACGGGAGAAAGCAGGGGACCUUCGGGCCUUGCGCUAUCAGAUGAGCCUAGGUCGGAUUAGCUAGGUGGUGGGGUAAUGGCUCACCAAGGCGACGAUCCGUAACUGGUGUGAGAGGAUGAUCAGUCACACUGGAAGUGAGACACGGUCCAGACUCCUACGGGAGGCAGCAGUGGGGAAUAUUGGACAAUGGGCGAAAGCCUGAUCCAGCAAUGCCGCGUGUGUGAAGAAGGUCUUCGGAUUGUAAAGCACUUUAAGUUGGGAGGAAGGGCAGUAAGUUAAUACCUUGCUGUUUUGACGUUACCGACAGAAUAAGCACCGGCUAACUCUGUGCCAGCAGCCGCGGUAA